CCUACGGGAGGCAGCAGUAGGGAAUAUUGCACAAUGGGGGAAACCCUGAUGCAGCGACGCCGCGUGAGUGAAGAAGUAAUUCGUUAUGUAAAGCUCUAUCAGCAGGGAAUAAAAUGACGGUAACUGAGUAAGAAGCCCCGGCUAACCACGUGCCAGCAGCCGCGGUAAUACGUAGGGGGCAAGCGUUAGGCGGAUUUACUGGGUGUAAAGUGAGCGUAGACGGCAGUGCAAGUCUGGAGUGAAAGGCGGGGGCUCAACCCCCGGACUGCUCUGGAAACUGUACGGCUGGAGUGCAGGAGAGGUAAGUGGAAUUCCUAGUGUAGCGGUGAAAUGCGUAGAUAUUAGGAGGAACACCAGUGGCGAAGGCGGCUUACUGGACUGUAACUGACGUUGAGGCUCGAAAGCGUGGGGAGCAAACAGGAUUAGAUACCCUAGUAGUC
Molecule: ribosomal RNA, 440 nt
Filed under: uncultured bacterium
Lineage: Bacteria
Description: partial 16S ribosomal RNA
Rfam family: Bacterial small subunit ribosomal RNA
Source: RNAcentral